This 74-nucleotide transfer RNA is filed under the name Cedecea sp. FDAARGOS_727. RNAcentral describes it as "tRNA-OTHER". Lineage: Bacteria; Pseudomonadati; Pseudomonadota; Gammaproteobacteria; Enterobacterales; Enterobacteriaceae. The record is from RNAcentral.
CCGCCACUAGCUCACAGGGAAGAGCGACAACCUCGAUGUUGUAGUUCGGGGUUCGAGUCCCCGGUGGCGGACCA